GACGAACGCUGGCGGCGUGCCUAAUACAUGCAAGUCGAACGCUGAAGGAGGAGCUUGCUUCUCUGGAUGAGUUGCGAACGGGUGAGUAACGCGUAGGUAACCUGCCUGGUAGCGGGGGAUAACUAUUGGAAACGAUAGCUAAUACCGCAUAAGAGUAGAUGUUGCAUGACAUUUGCUUAAAAGGUGCAAUUGCAUCACUACCAGAUGGACCUGCGUUGUAUUAGCUAGUUGGUGGGGUAACGGCUCACCAAGGCGACGAUACAUAGCCGACCUGAGAGGGGGAUCGGCCAAACUGGGAAUGAGACACGGCCCAGACUCCUACGGGAGGCAGCAGUAGGGAAACUUCGGCAAUGGACGGAAGUCUGACCGAGCAACGCCGCGUGAGUGAAGAAGGUUUUCGGAUCGUAAAGCUCUGUUGUAAGAGAAGAACGAGUGUGAGAGUGGAAAGUUCACACUGUGACGGUAUCUUACCAGAAAGGGACGGCUAACUACGUG
This 495-nucleotide ribosomal RNA is filed under the name uncultured bacterium. RNAcentral describes it as "partial 16S ribosomal RNA". It matches the Rfam family "Bacterial small subunit ribosomal RNA", at positions 28 to 507 of the family's 1533-position model. The record is from RNAcentral.